GAUGAACGCUGGCGGCGUGCCUAAUACAUGCAAGUCGAGCGAACGGACGAGAAGCUUGCUUCUCUGAUGUUAGCGGCGGACGGGUGAGUAACACGUGGAUAACCUACCUAUAAGACUGGGAUAACUUCGGGAAACCGGAGCUAAUACCGGAUAAUAUUUUGAACCGCAUGGUUCAAAAGUGAAAGACGGUCUUGCUGUCACUUAUAGAUGGAUCCGCGCUGCAUUAGCUAGUUGGUAAGGUAACGGCUUACCAAGGCAACGAUGCAUAGCCGACCUGAGAGGGUGAUCCGCCACACUUGAACUGAGUCACGGUCCAGGCUCCUACGGGAGGCAGCAUUAGCGAAUCUUCCGCAAUGGGCGAAAGCCUGACGGAGCAACGCCGCGUGAGUGAUGAAGGUCUUCGGAUCGUAAAACUCUGUUAUUAGGGAAGAACAUAUGUGUAAGUAACUGUGCACAUCUUGACGGUACCUAAUCAGAAAGCCACGGCUAACUACGUG
RNAcentral lists this ribosomal RNA (497 nucleotides) under uncultured bacterium. Its description in RNAcentral is "partial 16S ribosomal RNA". It matches the Rfam family "Bacterial small subunit ribosomal RNA", at positions 28 to 507 of the family's 1533-position model. The record is from RNAcentral.